UAAGGCCAGCACUAGGUGUGUUUGUUGGAGGCUUAGUCUAGUUGAAGAGGAGAAGAGCAGCGUGUUCUAGUUGCCGCGUGCGCUACUGCGACUCGUUGUCGGCGGGAAGAGCCAAGGAGACGGAGGAGCACGACGACGAGGAGGAGUGGCAGAAGCGCGCCGCGAGGCCGCGGUGGUCCGGGGACGCCGUUGGCCGUCGACCGCCGCCACCCCCACACCGGCGGCGCCGGCACGCCUGCUAGCGGGAGGGGCGGCGCCGGAACUGCUCCCUGCGCCUCCUCCAGCACGGCCAGCCCUUCGCCCAGCUCCGCGACGAGCCGUACUUCGGGUCCAGCUCUCGCGGCGGCAGCCCGGGGUCGUUUGCUUGGUUGCUGUAGUUCUCGACUGCUAGGCCGCCGGACGAGACGAGCCGAGAAGAGACUACGGCCAGCUAGAAAAGAAGAAGAAGAAGAAGAGAACACGAUCGAGCAAAUCCGAGACUCGUUGGCUGACCAACUGGUCAGCAUAUGAUCUAACAAAGUAAACAAGAAACAUCGAUCCAGAUCGCACGGAGGUGUUACUAAAAGAGAGCCCAUACGAUCACAUUUAAUAACAUUGUAUAUAACGACUAUAUGAGGACGAACAUUACACUACAUGUGGUGUAUAUAUGCACGCUUAACAAAAGGU
RNAcentral lists this ribosomal RNA (666 nucleotides) under Triticum aestivum (bread wheat). Its description in RNAcentral is "partial small subunit ribosomal RNA". Lineage: Eukaryota; Viridiplantae; Streptophyta; Magnoliopsida; Poales; Poaceae. The record is from RNAcentral.